This is a non-coding RNA of Podarcis lilfordi (Lilford's wall lizard), 72 nucleotides long. The record is from the annotation of a GenBank genome assembly. Lineage: Eukaryota; Metazoa; Chordata; Lepidosauria; Squamata; Lacertidae.
UGAUAGCUCAGUUGGCAGAGCAUAAGACUCUUAAUUUCAAGGUUGUGGGUUCGAGCCCCACAUUGGGCGAAA